RNAcentral lists this ribosomal RNA (445 nucleotides) under uncultured bacterium. RNAcentral describes it as "partial 16S ribosomal RNA". It matches the Rfam family "Bacterial small subunit ribosomal RNA", at positions 354 to 796 of the family's 1533-position model. The record is from RNAcentral.
GUGAGGAAUAUUGGACAAUGGGCGCAAGCCUGAUCCAGCCAUGCCGCGUGCAGGAAGACGCAUCUAUGGUGUGUAAACUGCUUUUGUACGGGAAGAAACACUCCCUCGUGAGGGAGCUUGACGGUACCGUAAGAAUAAGGAUCGGCUAACUCCGUGCCAGCAGCCGCGGUAAUACGGAGGAUCCAAGCGUUAUCCGGAAUCAUUGGGUUUAAAGGGUCCGUAGGCGGUUUAAUAAGUCAGUGGUGAAAGCCCAUCGCUCAACGAUGGAACGGCCAUUGAUACUGUUAGACUUGAAUUACAAGGAAGUAACUAGAAUAUGUAGUGUAGCGGUGAAAUGCUCAGAUAUUACAUGGAAUACCAAUUGCGAAGGCAGGUUACUACUUGUGGAUUGACGCUGAUGGACGAAAGCGUGGGGAGCGAACAGGAUUAGAUACCCGAGUAGUCC